Aquila chrysaetos chrysaetos is the source of this 289-nucleotide long non-coding RNA. RefSeq lists it as uncharacterized. Lineage: Eukaryota; Metazoa; Chordata; Aves; Accipitriformes; Accipitridae. The record is from RefSeq and is a predicted model, not a curated record. The transcript has 4 exons.
CGCCGGUCGGCGGUGGCGAGGCCGGGGGUUGCGGCGCUCGGGGGAGGCGCGGAGCUCGGCGGGCGGGCGGCGGCGGCUCCGCCAGGGACAGGCGGGGUCGGAGCGAGAUGGAACCGUGACCAGAUUCGUGCUUUCUGCUGAAGGGAGAAAGAGACUCAGGGCUGAAAGCAAAUGCCAUAAGCUUUUCAGAAUGACUGGGGAGAGAGCUGCUGGCAUGGAAAUGAGCUGGGUUUGUCCGUGGGAACUGUGAGUAAGGUUGCCAUCACGAAAGCCAAAGUGGAUUUCUCCG